Molecule: unclassified non-coding RNA, 337 nt
Filed under: soil metagenome
Description: partial contains 5.8S ribosomal RNA, internal transcribed spacer 2, and large subunit ribosomal RNA
Rfam family: 5.8S ribosomal RNA (bases 1-120)
Source: RNAcentral
GAUGAAGAACGUAGCGAAAUGCGAUAAGUAAUGUGAAUUGCAGAAUUCCGUGAAUCAUCGAAUCUUUGAACGCACAUUGCGCCCCCUGGCAUUCCGGGGGGCAUGCCUGUCCGAGCGUCAUUUCUGCCCUCAAGCACGGCUUGUGUGUUGGGUGUGGUCCCCCCGGGGACCUGCCCGAAAGGCAGCGGCGACGUCCGUCUGGUCCUCGAGCGUAUGGGGCUCUGUCACUCGCUCGGGUAGGACCUGCGGGGGUUGGUCACCACCAUGUUUUACCACGGUUGACCUCGGAUCAGGUAGGAGUUACCCGCUGAACUUAAGCAUAUCAAUAAGCGGAGGA